UACGUAGGGUGCAAGCGUUUAUCGGAAUUACUGGGCGUAAAGCGUGCGCAGGCGGUUUUGUAAGUCUGUCGUGAAAGCCCCGGGCUCAACCUGGGAAUUGCGAUGGAGACUGCAAGGCUUGAAUCUGGCAGAGGGGGGUAGAAUUCCACGUGUAGCAGUGACAUGCGUAGAGAUGUGGAGGAACACCGAUGGCGAAGGCAGCCCCCUGGGUCAAGAUUGACGCUCAUGCACGAAAGCGUGGGGAGCAAACAGG
Molecule: ribosomal RNA, 253 nt
Filed under: uncultured bacterium
Lineage: Bacteria
Description: partial 16S ribosomal RNA
Rfam family: Bacterial small subunit ribosomal RNA
Source: RNAcentral